GAACCGUUGAUUCGCACAAUUGGUCAUCGUGCUUGGUUGAAAAGCCAGUGGCGCGAAGCUACCAUGUGCUGGAUUAUGACUGAACGCCUCUAAGUCAGAAUCCGGGCUGGAAGCGACNCCGCCGUCCGCUUGCCGACCCGCAGUAGGGGCCUUUGGCCCCCAAGGGCACGUGUCGUUGGCUAAGUCAUCGCGGCGGAAGAGCCGCGGUGGCCGCCUUGAAGUACAAUUUCCAUCGAGCGGCGGGUAAAAUCCUUUGCAGACGACUUAAAUACGCGAUGGAGUAUUGUAAGUGGCAGAGCGGCCUUGCUGCCACGAUCCACUGAGAUUCAGCCCUUUGUCGCUCCAAUUCGU
RNAcentral lists this non-coding RNA (351 nucleotides) under Nicotiana sylvestris (wood tobacco). RNAcentral describes it as "Eukaryotic large subunit ribosomal RNA". It matches the Rfam family "Eukaryotic large subunit ribosomal RNA", at positions 3041 to 3401 of the family's 3401-position model. Lineage: Eukaryota; Viridiplantae; Streptophyta; Magnoliopsida; Solanales; Solanaceae. The record is from Rfam by way of RNAcentral.